UCCCUGAUGGCUCAGUUGGUAAAGAAUCUGCCUGCAAUGUAGGAGCUGCUGCUGCUGCUGCUGCUAAGUCGCUUCAGUUGUGUCCGACUCUGUGUGACCCCACAGACCCUGGUUCAAUUCCUGGUUUGGGAA
RNAcentral lists this transfer RNA (132 nucleotides) under Bos taurus (domestic cattle). It matches the Rfam family "tRNA". From Rfam's summary of the family: Transfer RNA (tRNA) molecules are approximately 80 nucleotides in length. Their secondary structure includes four short double-helical elements and three loops (D, anti-codon, and T loops). Lineage: Eukaryota; Metazoa; Chordata; Mammalia; Artiodactyla; Bovidae. The record is from Rfam by way of RNAcentral. RNAcentral also lists the same sequence under 2 other names.